CACCACACUGUGGUUGAAUUGGUCAUAAGAAUUUGAAUUGAAUUUGAAUGGGGAGUUGGAGUAAAUUAAGGAGAAAAUUCGGUGGAGGCAUUGGUGGAAUUGUUGAAAGAUUUUGAAAUAGGAGAAGUUGGAGCCGAUUGAGGGGAGUUUUGUUUAGGUAAAUUCAGCUAGAGAGUGCAUUGGGUGCAUUUUCGACAAUUGCUUUCCUUUAUGCCGAUUUAUUUUAUUUUCUCUCUUCUAUCUAUAGUGCCAAAGAUUGCCAUAGACUUUUUU
RNAcentral lists this long non-coding RNA (273 nucleotides) under Gossypium barbadense (sea-island cotton). Its description in RNAcentral is "long non-coding RNA (GBAR_LNC020922)". Lineage: Eukaryota; Viridiplantae; Streptophyta; Magnoliopsida; Malvales; Malvaceae. The record is from RNAcentral.